This is an RNA transcript of Pipra filicauda (Wire-tailed manakin), 1314 nucleotides long. It is a transcript of the gene named SET domain containing 9, with no coding region annotated. Lineage: Eukaryota; Metazoa; Chordata; Aves; Passeriformes; Pipridae. The record is from RefSeq and is a predicted model, not a curated record. The transcript is spliced from 6 exons.
GAAUGGCCGCCGCGUUCGCGCGGGCGCGGCUGGGCCGGGAGGGCGGCGCGGGGCUGUGAGGGAGCGGCCGUCAGGCUGAGCCGGCCGGGCUGUGACCGCCAUGGGGUGGGUGCUGCUCAGGGCGCUGCGCCGCCGCUGGGCAGCCUACAAGUACCGCUUCGUGCCCUGGCUCGCCCUCAACCUCCGCCGUCAGGGCAGGACCCUCCGAUAUGUUCCUGAAAGCUCUCAAGACAAAAUUAUCUCUGAUGAAGAUGUCUUUGAGACACUACUGAAAACAUUUAAAGCUCUGUUCCUAAAUGAUUUCAGUAGACAAGCGGAUAUUUUGGCCUUGCUUCCAGAAGUCAAAUGUCAGUAUCUGGAAUUACUGACUUGGGAGCAGAAGUGGUCAAAAGUAACUUCGUGUAACCAUGGGAGUCAGCAGGUGUUUAGUCCUGAGGAAGUUCUGUUAAACACACUUGGAUUCACUGUUGGUAGAGACCAGAGUUCCCUCGUGUCUGCUGGAACUGGAGUCUUUGUUACCAAAGGUUUUGUGCCAAAAGGGACAGUUGUGUCAAUGUAUCCUGGUACAGUAUACAGAAAGCAUGAGCCCAUCUUUUUCCAGUCCCUUGGCAAUCCCUUUAUUUUUAGGUGCAUUGAUGGCAUCCUUAUUGAUGGGAACGAUAAAGGACUAUCAAGAUCAGUGUACAGGUCUUGCAGGAGGAGAGAUCAACUUGGCCCAUUUCAGAUGAGUGAUGAGAGCUGGCUCACUGAUGCUCCGCAAAACCCACUGGCAGUGGGACAGUAUGUCAACAACUGCUCACAUGAAAAAGCAGCAAACGUGUGUUAUCAAGAGUUUGAUGUGCCGGAACAUUUUCCAAUAGAGCUGAAACAGUACCUUCCAAACAUCGUCUACAACCAUGAUGUAGAGAGGUUGGCAGCAAAUGAAAGAGCUCGUGGAUUUGUAUGAUACAAGCAUACUGCAUGUGUAAAAAAAGACAGACACAGUUGAAAAAUAAUAUACAGUAUGAAGAUGAGUUACACAAAAAUGUGCAACUACAUGGGAGAGUUAGCUCUUUGAAUAGACUGAGUUCAGUUCCAAGACUGUUUGUUCCUUUUUCCGCAUCUUCGCAGAUGAGUUCGGUGUGAAGACACGGUUUUACAAGCAGUGAUUGGGUUGCUCUGUAGGGCAGUUCUUCUGAAUCCCAUAAAGCAUUGGUUAUAUUUUGCUUGUAUUACAGUAUUGGAGGUUUUAGCCACCUGAGGUGUGUAGUUCUUGUCACUCUCAGAGACAUCAAGCAAGGAGAAGAACUUUUUUCAAAUUACUACACUGUUGUC